RNAcentral lists this unclassified non-coding RNA (345 nucleotides) under soil metagenome. RNAcentral describes it as "partial contains 5.8S ribosomal RNA, internal transcribed spacer 2, and large subunit ribosomal RNA". The stretch from base 1 to 120 matches the Rfam family "5.8S ribosomal RNA", at positions 35 to 154 of the family's 154-position model. The record is from RNAcentral.
GAUGAAGAACGCAGCGAAAUGCGAUACGUAAUGUGAAUUGCAGAAUUCAGUGAAUCAUCGAGUCUUUGAACGCACAUUGCGCCCCCUGGUAUUCCGGGGGGCAUGCCUGUCCGAGCGUCAUUGCUGCCCUCAAGCACGGCUUGUGUGUUGGGCCUCCGUCCUCCUCCCGGGGGACGGGCCCGAAAGGCAGCGGCGGCACCGCGUCCGGUCCUCGAGCGUAUGGGGCUUCGUCACCCGCUCUUGUAGGCCCGGCCGGCGCUUGCCGACACAUCAAUCUUUUUUCCAGGUUGACCUCGGAUCAGGUAGGGAUACCCGCUGAACUUAAGCAUACCAAUAAGCGGAGGA